ACUCCUACGGGAGGCAGCAGUGAGGAAUCUUCCACAAUGGACGAAAGUCUGAUGGAGCGACACCGCGUGAAGGAUGAAGGCCUAACGGUUGUAAACUUCUUUUCUGAAGGAGCAUAAUGAGAGUACUUCAGGAAUAAGGGACGGCUAAAUACGUGCCAGCAGCCGCGGUAAUACGUAUGUCUCGAGCGUUACCCGGAAUCACUGGGUGUAAAGGGGUUCGUAGGCGGUUUAAUAAGUUGGAUAUGAAAGACCGGAGCUCAACUUCGUGUUUGUGUUCAAAACUGUUAAACUAGAAUCAGGGAGAGGUAAGUAGAAUUCUAAGUGUAGGGGUGCAAUCCGUAGAUACUUAGAGGAAUACCAAAAGCGAAGGCAACUUACUGGAACUGUAUUGACGCUGAGGAACGAAAGCGUGGGUAGCGAAAAGGAUUAGAUACCCUGGUAGCACAAG
This 448-nucleotide ribosomal RNA is filed under the name uncultured bacterium. Its description in RNAcentral is "bacterial SSU rRNA". It matches the Rfam family "Bacterial small subunit ribosomal RNA", at positions 335 to 799 of the family's 1533-position model. The record is from RNAcentral.